AUAGAAACCUAAGAAAAAUGAGAAGUUGAUCAUUCAAACAGAAGAUAUUGAGAAAACACACACAUACACAGCAAUGAACUCUGCAGGGCACACAAAAUCAGGGCAUAUAUUCUAACUGCAGUUAAAGCAUAGACAUUAAAAAAAAGAUAAAGAAGAAAAUCCUACCAUUUACAACAACAUGGAUGAACUUAGAGGACACCACGGUGGGUGACAUAACACAGUCACAGAAGGACAAGUACUGCAUGAUUCUGCUUAUAUGAGGUAUAUGAAAUAAUCAAAUUAAUAGAUUCAGAGAGUAGAAUGGUGGUUGCUAUGAGCUGGGGUAUGGAAAAAUGGGGAGUUGUUCAGUGAGUAUAAAGUCUCAGUUGUACAAGAUAAAUAUGUCUAGAGAUCUUCUGUCACUGAGAAGAUUUAAACAGGGUUGAGGCAUGAUUUGAUUUUAAUUUUAUAAAUAUUAUUCUGAUUUCUGUUAAAUAUGGUAAGUUGAACACAUGCGUUUAUCAUCAUUUGCUUUGAAAAUUCCAGUAACAUGACAAGAGAUUAAUUUAAAAAGUUGCAAACUCAAAAGAUCAAAUUAGGCCAGGAGAUGGAACAAUAGGAAAUGAGAAAUAGCUACACGUACUUUGAAGGUGGAAAGCAUACAGACAGUGGUAACUGACACACAGAUGAGACUGCAGAAGUCUAGGCAUUCAUGAGACACUUAUAAGAAACAAGGGAAUUGGAUUUUUCUGUUAUCACACUACUAAUAAAGACAUACCUGAGAAUGGAUAAUUUAUAAAGGAAAGAGGUUUAAUUGACUCACAGUUCCACAUGCCUGGGGAGGCCUCACAGUCAUGGCAGAAGGCGAAUGAGGAGCUAAGUCACAUCUUACAUGGAAGCAGGCAAGAGAGCUUGUGCACGGGAUCUCCCAUUUAUAAAACCAUAAGAUCUCGUGAGACUUAUUCACUAUGAUGAGGACAGCAUGGGAAAAACCUGCCCCUAUGAUUCAAUUAUCUCCAUCUGGCCCCACCCUUGACAUGUGUGGAUUAUUACAAUUCAAGGUGAGAUUUGGGUGGGGACACAGCCAAACCAUAGCAGGAAUUUAUAGUGCAAACCUAGAAAAGCUCAGGAACUGAACAAACAGAUUCUAAUGAAGGCAAAUGGAGACUGUAAGGUGGACUCUCCACAGUUUAGAGUUAGUUUAAAGUCACUAUUAAGUUCAAUUACUUGCUGAGACCUUUUCUGCAUUCUGGUACAACAGACUACUACCCAUUCAUACUCCUAAAAAAUACAUAAGGUUGUUAUCAGGGAGAAUUGCACUGGAGAGGACAUCAAGUAGGGUGCAAUGAAGGGCAAAGUACCAUACUGAUAGAGGGUUAGUGGGUGAAAGGCUGUGUACUGAACAUUGAGAAUUCCAUGCCCUCUAGCUAGACACCAGGCUUAUUUCUCUCAUAAAGGAGACUCAGAUUCUUUCCUGGAGAAAAUGAGCAGCCAAAGAGGAAAGAUCUAAAAGAUCUAUAGAUACUGACAUGGAGUGGGGCAACAAAGUAGGCGGGUCUCCCUUCCAGCUAUCCUGCAGUAAAACUUACCAGGCAAUAAUCCCUUGCCAUGCUCACAGAACUUUCAGUUAAUGAUAGUGCUUCACUCUUGAAUCAAUGUAGUAUUUGGCAUUUAAGGAUAGCCUCCCAUAUAUAAGACAGAGACAUAAUAAAGAGUAAAAAACUCCAAGAAACAGAGAAGCAUAGAAAGCAGAACAAAAAACUUUAAAAAGAGAGAAAGAGAAAGCAAUCAAUGGUUCGGUGAAAUAUGAGAAAAUAUUUUUUUGUUUAAAAUAAAACACACUAUUUGAAAAAAGAACUAUCAAAGAACAAAGAAGAGUUCUUAGAAAUAAAAAAUAUGAUUGCAAAAAUGAAAAGUCAACAGAAAAUCAUCUAGAUAGAACCCAAAAAUGGGGGAAAAAAGGAAAAAAAAUGUAACAUAGCUGAAAUAAAUUCCAUAAUUUUUAAGAAAAUAUUUAUUCCUCUUCCCUGAAAGGUGGAGGAUAUUUUCUUACUACAUGGAGGAUGGGCUAGGGCCACCAAGCCCUGCUUGUGUGUAGAAAGGACAGCGUGCUGGUUAUAAACCAAAUUCAUAAGAGGCAUGUGAGUUUCUUUUGGCUUAAUUAAACAUCUGUCAUUCAAGCCAGUGGCCCAAGAAAGAAGACAAAGACAAAGAGGAAAUGUCUCUGAUCAGCCAAGUUCAGCUGACUCUAGCCAAUCUUUGCAGAGCUGCAACCAAGUGCAGACUGAUGAGUAAGAAAAUAAAUGCAUGUUAUUGCAUGACACUGAGCUCGAGAGAGGUUUCUUAUACAGCAUUAUUUUAACAAUAACUAAUUUAAGACAAAAAAUAAGAAUCCUAAACAAAUAAAAAGAAUCAACCCAGAAGUUGAAACAACCGGCUAAUAUAAGUUUCAGAAAGAAAGCAUCAAGAAAAUUAAGGGGAAGAAUUUAUAAAAUAAAUAAUGUAAGAAAAACUUUCAGAAUUGGGUGACAUAAAUUUCUAUAUUCAAGGAGUCCAGUGAUUACAAAAAGAUACACACCAAGGUAUAUCUUAUGGAAUUUCAGAAUAUCAAGGGUAAAGAAGGAUAAAACCUUCUUCUAGACAAAAUAUGAUCAGAAUGGCAUUGGACUUAUGAGAACAAUGCUGAAAGCAAAAAAUUAAUAAAUAAAUGUCUUUGAAAUUAAAAUUGAGAGCAUAAAAAAUUCUGAUAUAAAAUUAUAUAGCUAUUCAAAAGUUAAGUCAAAUGUGAAGGUGGAGUAAUGGUAUUUUCAAGCAUAUAAGGACUCAAAAAUAUUUACUUUCAAAGCAUAUUUUCUCAGGAAGUUAUUAAAGAAUAUGCUCUAGUAAGAUGAGGUAGACUGGAGAUCCAAGAAGUCAGAAAUCCAGAAGAGAAGUGAAGAAAAAUCUGGAGUGAUGGGUAAGAAAAUAUCCAGAACAAUAGCUGUGUAAGCCAGCCUAAGAGCUUUCAAUCCCAAUUACAGUAGGACACUGAAAGGCUGUAGGAGGAAUAUCUCCACAAAAACAUGGUAUUUCAUUAAUUUUACCUUCUGCAUAUUAUCUCACUAUAUAAAUAAAUCAGUUUCUUCAUUCCUCUUGAGUGAGGAAUGAUCAGGUUUCUGCUUUUUCCCUAUUACAAUCAAUAAAGCAAUUAAUACAUGACUUCUUGUGAACAAUUUUAAGAGGUUGGUUUUUGUUUUUAGUGUAGAUAAUGAAUUAUUGAGUGCAAUGAUAAUUUUGUGUUUUAUCUUGGUUAGUCCAAGGUACUCGGAUAUUUAGUCAAACACUUUGGUGUUGCUUUCAAGGUAUUUUUAAGAUGAGAUUAAGGUUUGUCUUAGUCCAUUUUGUGCUGCCAUAAUAUAAUACCUGAAACUGGGUAAUUUAUAAUGAACAGAAAUAUCUUGACUCAUAGUUCUGCUGGCUGAGAAGUCCAGUAUCAAAGCAUCUGAUAAGGGCCUUCUUGCUGCGUUAUCCCACGGCAGAAGGUGAGACAGCAAGAGAGCAAGAGGGGACGAUACUUAUCCUUCUGUAAUCACAUUAAUCCCACUAAUGAGGCCAGAGCCUUCAUGCCUUAAUCACCUCUUAAAGUUCCCACUCCUUAAUACUGUCAAUGGCAAUUAAAUUUCAACAUGAGAUUUUGAGGGGACAUUCAAACUAUAGUAAUAUUUAAAUCAGAAGACUUUGAGUAAAUUACCCUUCAUAAUGUGGGUGGGCAUCUUUUAAUCAGCUGAAAGCCAUAAGGAAAAGAUUGACUUCCCAUGAAGAAGACAGAUUUCUGCCAGCCAACUGCCUUCAGCCUUGAGCUAUAACAUCCAUUUUUUUUCCUGGGUUCCAGCCUGCCAAUCUACCUUGCAGAUUCUGGACCUGCAGAUUUUGGAGUUGCUAGCCUGUACAAUUACAUGAGCCAAUUCCUUAAAAUCUCUCUCUCUACCUUCCAAUAGGAUGUAUAUAAAACCAAUAGGACACACACACACACACACACACACACACACACACACACCCUGUCGCUUCUUUCUCUGGAGAUGCUGACUAAUACAUCAGAUAUGUGCGCAUACAAUUUCACUAAAUAUUGGCAAGAUGUAUAAAACAUUGUAGGAUUUUUAUAUUCCCAUCAACAGUGAUGAAAAUGUACAUUUCUCCAUAUCGUCACCAGCACGUAAUUUUGUAACGUAUAAUAUUUUGGACCAAUGUGAUAGCUGUGAAAUAUUUUCUCAUUUUAAUUGGUAUUUUUUCAUUAUGAUUACUAGUUGGUUUAAAAAUUUUUCAUAUAUUCAUUUGACCAUUCAUAUACAUACUUCUAGGAAAUGCCCAUUUUAUUAUUUUUCUAACAAAACGUUUUCAUUAGUGUAUAAUUUACAUAGAGAAAAGCGUACAAGUCAUGAGUGUACAACUUGAUAAAGUAUUACAAAAUAAACACCUCCAAUAUAACCAUCAUCUAGCACCUAGAUCUUACAUCCAAAAAUCUAACAUUGCUGGGACCCUACAAUGUCCAAGCAGGUCCCCUUCCAAAACACUACAUCCUCUUUUUUCCACAAAGAGAAACACUAUCCUGAAUGAUAACACCAUAGAUUAUUCUUGCCACUUCAAGUAAGUGGAAUCAAACUAUACAGAACAUAUCGUGUCUAGUUUCUUUUCCUCAAUAUGUUUAUGAGAGUAGUCCAUGUUGUAGCAUAUAGCUGUAGUAUUUUUCACUGCUGCAUAAUAGUUCAUUGCAUGACUAUGCAAUAAUUUAUCUACUUUGUGUUCAUUAAAAUAUGAUGCAGUUAUAAACCUUUUAAUGCAUGUUUUUCAGUGUGCAUAAGUAUAUGCCUAGGAAUGUAAAUGUAUGUCUUCAACUUUGGAGGAUAAUGGCAGUUCUCCGGUUGGAUACACGGAUUUAUACCACUACGUGUAGUGCAUGUCAGCUCUAAUGGCUCCACAUCUUUGUCAACAAUUGGUAUUGUCAGCACUUUUUAAUUUUAGCCAAUCUAGAAAGUAUGAAGAAAACACUGAUUUGUGGCUUAAAUUACCAUUUCUUUGAUGACUAAUGAGGUUGAUCAUAUUUACAUGUUUGUGGGCAAUGGGGAUAGCCUCUUUUGUAAAGUAUCUUUUCACAACUUGUUCUCUCAUUCUAUUUUGUUGUAUGUAUUUUCUUACUGAGUUUUACAAGUUAUUUAUAUAUUCCAAAUCUGAGCUUUUUGUUUUUGUAUGUGUUGCAGAUAGAUUUCCCUAGUCUGUUAACUUGGCUUCUAUUUUCUUGUCAGCUUUUUUUGAGGGAGAAAUGUCUAAGUUGUAUUGUCUAAUUUUGCAUAUUUCCUUUAUAGUUUAUGGUUUUUGUGACUGUUUUAAAUGUUCUAACUUAUCUUAAAAUCAUAAAUAUAUCCUCCUAUGUCAUGUUCUAUAACAGCACUCUGUUACUAAUUUCUGCAAUAAUAGACAUAUUUUAUAUCUGUGCUAACCUACAUCGUAGCCACUAGAUACAUGUUGCUACUGAGCACUUAAAGUAUGGCUAGUGUGACUGAGGAAAUACUUUAACAUUUUUAUUUGAUUUUAAUUAAUUUAAAUUUACAUUGCUAUAUGUGGCAAUUGCUAGUGGCAAUUUAAAUUAAUUUAAAUCACUAGAGGCCAACAUAUUGGAUAAAAAUCAUUCAAUUAUGUUCUCAGACCACAAUAUAAUUAAACUAGAAAUCAGUAACAGAAAGAUAGCUGGGAAAUUCCAAAAUAUUUGGAAAGUAGCACACUUCCAAAUUAUCCAGGGUCAAAAAAGUAUCAAGAUAAAUUUAAAAUUUUUUGAACCAAAUAGAAGAAAAAAUAAAAUGUAUCAAAAUUUGUGUGAUACAGUGAUAGCAGUGCUUAGAUUAACAUGUUUAGCAUUAAAUUCAUGUGUUCAAAAAGAAGAAAAAUCUAAAACUUCACCCUCCGCCUUAAGAAACUAGAGUAAGAAAAGCCAAUUAGGCCUGGCUGAAAUAGGUCAGAUCCUUAAAAGAGACUGCUGAAACUCCCACAAGGAGAACUAGAUAAACUGAAUAUCCAUUUAUUUAUUAUAGAAAUUUGAUCACUAUUUAAUAAACUUACAAAAAAAUAAAGCACCAGACUCAAAUGAUUUCACUGGUAAAUUCACUAAACAUUUAAAGAAAAAAUAAUACCAAGUUUCCACAAUUUCUUCAAGAAAAUGGAAGCCGUGAAAACACUGUCUAUAUUAUUCUAUAAGGCCAGCAUUACCCUAAUAUCAGUUCCAGAGAAAGACCUUGCAAGAAACAAAAACUACAUUCCAAUACCUCUCAUGAACAUAGACACAAGAAUCCUUACCAAAAUAUUAACAAAUUGAACCCAACAAGUAUAACAGGAAUUAUACACCAUGGCUGAGUGGGAUUUAUUUCAGGUACUCAAGGCUCAUUCAAAAUUUAAAAAUCAAUCAGUGUAAUUCAUCACAUCAAAACACUAAAUAAGAAAAAUCAUAUGAUAUAUCAAUUGAUACAGAAAAAGUGUUUAACAAAAUUUAGAAUCCAUGCAUGAUAAAAGCUCUCAGAGAAUUAGGAAUAAAAGGAAACUCUCAACCUGAUAAAGAACAUCUGUAAAUCUACAGCCAGCAUCUUAAUUGUAAGAAACUGGACAUAAGGCAAGAUUGUCCUCUUGUAUUAAAAAGUUUAUUCAAAGUCCUAGAUAGUGCAAUAAAACAUAAAAAAGAAAAAUUAUGGAGAUUAUUAAAAAAGAAAAGGAUCAUAUUCACAGAUGACAUAAUUUUCUAUGUAGAAUGCUCCAAAAUACCUAUUUAAAAACUCCUAGAACUAAUACAUACACACACACAGUAAUACACUUAGUAUAUACUAAUAUAUACUAUAACCUGCUCUCAAUACACAAGGUCAACAUGAAAAAAUCAAUUGCUUUUCUAUAUCUCAGCAAUAAACAAUGGGAAUUUAAAUUCUAAAAAGCAAUAUCAUUUACAAUAACACUAACAAAUUUUAAAGGUGGGGUGUAAAUCUAACAAAAUAUAUACAGAAUCUUUAUGUAGAAUAUUACAAAACACUGAUGAGGAAAUAAAGGAAGAUCUAAACAAAGGGAAUGAUAUUCUUGGUUUAUCGAUUGGAAGACUCGAUAUUGUUAAACUGUCUGUUCUAAUAUAUAGACUCAAUGCAAUCCCAAUGAAAAUUCCAGCAAUAUAUGUUUUUAGAUAUUGAUGAACAGGUCCUACAAUUUAUAUGGAAAAACAAAAGACUCAAAAUAGCCAACACAAUAUGAAAGAAAGAAAGUCAGAGGGCUGACACUACAUAACUUCAAUAUUUAUUGUAAAGCUACAGUAAUCAAGAUAGCAUGGUAUUAGCAAAAGAACAAGUAUAUGGAUGAGAAAAGAGAAUAGAGAGUCCAUUAAUAGACCCACACAAACAUAAAAAAGAAUCUUUGAUAAAAGAGUAAAGGCUAUUAAACUGAGCAAAAAUAGUCUUUUACACAAAUGGUACUAGAACAAUUGGACAUCCAUGCAAAACGUGAACUUACACACAGACAUUAUGCCUUUCACAAGAAUCUCAAAAUAAAUCAUCGACAUAAAUAAAAAUACAGAAAUUAUAAAACUUAUUGAAGAAAACAUAGGGUAAGAUCUAGAUGAUUUUGGAUUUAAGAAUGAAUAUUUAAAUACAACAAGAGUAGCAAAAUCAUGAAAAAUGAAUAGGUUGAACUUUAUAUAUUAAAAUCUGUUCUACAAAAGACAUUGUUAAAAGAAUGAAAAGAUAAGACACAGAUUGGAAAAAAUACUUGCAACACAGCUAUAUAAUAAAGGAAUUAUAUCCGAAAUAUGCAAUAUACAAAAAAACCUUAAAAGCCAACAAGAAAACAAAAAACAAAAUAAAAAUGAGUAGAAGAUCUGAACAGACACCUCGCCAAAGAAUAUAUGUCAUACAAGUGACAUACAUUGACAUACAAGUGAAUAUAUGUCAUACAAGUGACCAAAUAAGCCUAUGAAAAGCUGCUCAUUUCCAUUUUUUGUUAGGGAAAUAUAAAUUAAAACAACAUUCCAUUAAAAAGUCAAAAUGAUAAAGUAAACAGAUCAAUGGCGGCUAGGGAUUCUGAGGUGUAGUAGUAAAUAGAUGAAGCACACAGGAUUUUUUAGAGUGGUGAAACUGUUGGGUAUGAUACAUACUGGCAGAUACAUGAUUCUCUACAUUUCUGAAAACCAUAGAACUUUACAGCAUGAAGAGUGGAGCUUAAUGUUUGCAAAUUAAACAAACAUUUAGGAGAUAAGAGGAUCCUAGGAUGAGAUGCAGGCUAUGAUUUUUUUAAAAAACAACUGUAUUACAAAUGUAUGAAAUAAUCUUGCUAAAGAGGAUGGAGAAAAGAUAAUUGGUUAGUAUAUUUAGAAAUAAGUAGAGUCUAUAAUACUGAAGAUAAAAGGAACCUUACAUAAGCUCUGUAUUCUAGUUGAUAAACUUGUUUCCCACAGGGAUAUGGGUCAAUAAUUCUGAAAUUACUAUACCUGUACAUUGGAAUUGCACAAUUAAGUAAACAGCUGGCUGAUGACAGAAGCCAGGUUUCUCACUGUUGGAGUGACAGGUUACACAUAAACAGGUGGGGAAUGCCAGAAGGAUCCAUGUGAUCAUUGAUCAGAAUGGGAGACAAGAGUAUGAACUCAUGUUUAGCUUAAAAUAAAUACUCUUAGAUACAUACAGAAAAAUUUAUAAAUAUGCACGUAUACAUGAGUUAGUACACACACAUACUUCCUUGUUCUUUCAGCUGAGAUGGUCUUGAGCAACGGGACAGUACCAGUGAACACACCUAGCUCAAAGAUAUCAGUUUUUUAUUCCAUUCUCCAAUGAAAGGAUGCCAGACUUGUUGCACAAAUGACCAAUUUGGGUCUGUGGCAUGAAAUAAUGAUCUUGCAGCAUCUUGUAGUGCCAGAAAGUGAGAAAAAACUCAAAUAUAAAACCCACAAAACCCACAGUGACAGGAAAAUAUCAAAGAGACAUUGGAGCCAACUGAAAGAGCUUCCAAUGGCGAAAGCUGGAACAAUAUGAGCAACAAAAUAAAGUUAUAUUGGGGUGUAAGCUGAAGCAGAAAAGAAGUAUCAAUGAGUUCAUACUAGCAUCAGUAAAUGUUUGGAUAUAUAAAUGAAUAGGGGAGGAGAUCUAAAUCUACUAUGCAGAAUUCAAAACAUCUUGUGAGAGAUUAUCUUUCAUAGAGAGAGAGUAUUAACCCAGCUACUUAAAUAUUGGCUGCGGACAGUAUUCUAAAGAAAACAAUAUGGAAAAGGGGAAAACAAGUGACUUUACAGUGCAGAAAUCUGACAAACAUUACCUUAGUCAAGCAAUCAAGAUUAACAUCAAUAAUGACAAGUCAUAUUGAUGGCAUGUACCUUUCAUGUAAUUCAUGGAGAAUGGCACUUUACCUGUGUGGUCUUUCUCCCCAAACCUCGAAGUUCUAGUAUAAUUUGGAGGAAAGCAUCGGAUCAUCCCCACUGAGGCACAUUCUACAGAAUACCUAGCCUGUACUCUGAGAACUGCUGCAACCAAAAAGAACCUAAGGAGACAUGUUGGCUAAGAGUAAUGAUUAUCCUGAAUGGGACACUGGAACAGUAAAAGGUCAGUAGAUCAAAACUAAGGAAAUCUGAAUAAAGCAUAGACUUUCGUUAAUGGUAUAAAUAUCAGUUCAUUAAUUAUAACAAAUUUUCCAUACUAAUUUAAGAUGUCAACAACAGGGGAAACUAGAUGUUAAGUACAUAGGAACUCUCUGUACUAUCCUUGCAACUUUUCUGUAAACCUAACACAAUUUUAAAAUGAUAAUUUGAUUAAAAUAAAUUAAUGGUGAUAUGUUGAAAUUUUUACCUCUAAAACUAGCAUCUCCAGUGUCUCCAUUUUUAUUCAAAAUUAUAUUAGUAGCCCUAGCCAGUGAAAUAAGUUAUGAGAAAGGAAUAAAAUAAGGAUAGAAAAGUUUUUUUUAAAAUAAUGUAUACAUAGAAAAUGUAAUUCUAUAAAUAAACCUUUAGAAUUAUCAGCGUCAUUGAAUCAAUUCAUUAUACACAAAUUAAUUUAAUUUUAAUUUUACAUACCAGCUACAGAAAUUUUAAGACGUCUCAAAAUUAUUGAAAUAUAAUAAGACCUACAUAAAUGAUAGAUAUACCAUGUCAAUAUUUUUGAAGACUUGAUGUUGUAUAAUUUCCAAUUCUUCUCAAAGUGAUCUAUAGAUUCAAUGUAAUGACAACAAAAGUCCCAGCAGGUGUGUUUCUGAAAAUUGAGAUGCUGAGACUAAAAUUGUAUCGAAAUAUAAAGGAACCAGAAUGGUUAAGGGAAACUUGAAGAAUUACAGAAUGAGAGAAUUUGAUUUACCAGAAAAGACUUAUACCAUAGUUACAAUCACUAAAUAAGAAUUGGUACAAGUAAAGACCACAGACUAAUGAAGGCAAGAGACAGCAGAAACAGAUCCAUUCUUACAGGACUACUUGAAUUACGACAAAGGUGGCACGUUGGAGGAAUAGAAAAAAGAUGGGCUUUUCAGUGAAUCGUCCUGAGUCAAUAGUCCUGAGUCAAUCAGUUGUCCCUCUGGGAACCAAAUGAAACCUGACGUUUGCUUUUCGUAUUUCCUUUGGGGUAGGCCUGCUGGUUAGUGUGGUUUAUAUUUAUCAUUCAACGAUUAUCGUUAAAUACCAUUUUCCUAUUUUAUUUUUCAUGAACCGUAUAACUAUCUCAAAUUAUCUCAUUUAUUUGAUUGCUUUUAAAUUAUUUUUCCUGUUCCCACUACAAUAUAAAGUCCCUGAGAACAAGAAUUUAUCUAUGCUGCUAAACAUUGUAGCUAAAAUAUCUAAAAUAUUUCAAGGUAUAAUUAUAAGCUUUUGAAUAAAUAAAUGAAUAUACAAAUCUGCCAGGAAAAUGAGGAGUGAAAAUAACAUAAUCCUUUGAUCUAGCGCAGGAAGGAUGAGGACAGUUUAUUUGAGAGCCUGGGAUGGGGUAAUGGUUUGGAACAUUCUAGAUAAAAGGCAUAGCAAAUGCUGAAACAUAAUAAAUGUGUAGGGGAACAUCACAGGGUGACUUUCUGAGUGGGCUAUUUUUUUAUGUAGUAAAUGGAAAUGUCUGUUUAAAAUAAAGG
This 11064-nucleotide long non-coding RNA is filed under the name Homo sapiens (human). Its description in RNAcentral is "HSALNT0114794". The record is from RNAcentral. Lineage: Eukaryota; Metazoa; Chordata; Mammalia; Primates; Hominidae.